This 209-nucleotide long non-coding RNA is filed under the name Jatropha curcas. RNAcentral's name for it is "long non-coding RNA (JCUR_LNC000721)". The record is from RNAcentral. Lineage: Eukaryota; Viridiplantae; Streptophyta; Magnoliopsida; Malpighiales; Euphorbiaceae.
AGGUGAUUCUGCAUUCUAUGGUUAGCUAACACAUUAGGGUACAAAAGUUUCUUCUACCACAUCUCUUAAUUACGUCGGUAAGAUAGGCAAAUAUUUACCUAAAUUAGCAACAUCCAGUCCGCCCAGACUGUUAGUUUCCAGCCUGCACAGUCUGUACUAUUUUGGUCAUAUCUCUCAAUUUAUAACUCCAAAUUAGGUGAUUCAAAAAC